GACGAACGCUGGCGGCGUGCCUAAUACAUGCAAGUAGAACGCUGAAGGAGGAGCUUGCUUCUCUGGAUGAGUUGCGAACGGGUGAGUAACGCGUAGGUAACCUGCCUGGUAGCGGGGGAUAACUAUUGGAAACGAUAGCUAAUACCGCAUAAGAGUAGAUGUUGCAUGACAUUUGCUUAAAAGGUGCAAUUGAAUCACUACCAGAUGGACCUGCGUUGUAUUAGCUAGUUGGUGGGGUAACGGCUCACCAAGGCGACGAUACAUAGCCGACCUGAGAGGGUGAUCGGCCACACUGGGACUGAGACACGGCCCAGACUCCUACGGGAGGCAGCAGUAGGGAAUCUUCGGCAAUGGACGGAAGUCUGACCGAGCAACGCCGCGUGAGUGAAGAAGGUUUUCGGAUCGUAAAGCUCUGUUGUAAGAGAAGAACGAGUGUGAGAGUGGAAAGUUCACACUGUGACGGUAUCUUACCAGAAAGGGACGGCUAACUACGUG
This 495-nucleotide ribosomal RNA is filed under the name uncultured bacterium. RNAcentral's name for it is "partial 16S ribosomal RNA". It matches the Rfam family "Bacterial small subunit ribosomal RNA", at positions 28 to 507 of the family's 1533-position model. The record is from RNAcentral.